AUUGAACGCUGGCGGCAGGCCUAACACAUGCAAGUCGAGCGGAUGAAGGGAGCUUGCUCCUGGAUUCAGCGGCGGACGGGUGAGUAAUGCCUAGGAAUCUGCCUGGUAGUGGGGGAUAACGUCCGGAAACGGGCGCUAAUACCGCAUACGUCCUGAGGGAGAAAGUGGGGGAUCUUCGGACCUCACGCUAUCAGAUGAGCCUAGGUCGGAUUAGCUAGUUGGUGGGGUAAAGGCCUACCAAGGCGACGAUCCGUAACUGGUCUGAGAGGAUGAUCAGUCACACUGGAACUGAGACACGGUCCAGACUCCUACGGGAGGAAGCAGUGGGGAAUAUUGGACAAUGGGCGAAAGCAUGAUCCAGCCAUGCCGCGUGUGUGAAGAAGGUCUUCGGAUUGGAAAGCACUUUAAGUUGGGAGGAAGGGAAGUAAGUUAAUACCUUGCUGUUUUGACGUUACCAACAGAAUAAGCACCGGCUAACUUCGUG
RNAcentral lists this ribosomal RNA (484 nucleotides) under uncultured bacterium. Its description in RNAcentral is "partial 16S ribosomal RNA". It matches the Rfam family "Bacterial small subunit ribosomal RNA", at positions 30 to 507 of the family's 1533-position model. The record is from RNAcentral.